AUGGACACACCGGCGGUACCGCUGUCGCGUGAGCACCAUGGGGGACAAAGCGGAGAUGCGAUGCGCCGCGAGGAGCAGCUUAGGACCACGUUGCACUAUGAUGACAAGGAGAAGCUGCGCAGGAAGUUGGCCCUGUUGCAGAGGGAGUACCUCAGGACAGCUGAGAGACUGCAGCGGGCCGAGCGUCUGGACGCAGUGCGGAGACAUGUGAGGAGCAGGAUCGGUCGGCAGGACCAGGACCAGGACCAGAGAGACCCGGAGGAGACACCGGGUCCCCGUCUCAAGCCAUCACCAUGGGUACCGAACGCCACCAAUGGGACAGCACCACGCGCCGCUCCGUGCCCGGGACACGCGGGAGCAGUUUCCGAUGCCUCCAGGAAGAGCCCGGUGAUCCGCUUCCUGCUCCCCUCCGCUGCCGUCGGCCCGCAGACACCGGACCCCCGGCACGACACCGUCAGCGGUCACAGGCCGAGUCCCGCCCUGCGCCUCCGGUCUCGACGCAGCCGCCUGCGCUGGGAAAGGAGGAGCGCCGAGGCCGGCGGGAGCGCCGACGACCACAGCGAGGAACCCCGGGAGCGAUGUGGCAGGAUGGAGACUGAUGGGGCGGAAGGGUGCGAGGGCGGAGUCAGAGCGGGAGGUAACGAGGGGGAAGAGACGCGAGAACGACUAACGGAGACAGACGCCGAGCUCCCGCGUUGGACCGGAACGGGAGCCAGAAGGGAGACGGAGGAAGGAGGGAAGAGUAAAGAGGACCGGGACGGAAGGCUGUUUGAAGGCGGCAGCGAAAGAGACGCCGAACAAAUGGCAGCAGAGCUUAGAGAAAGAGAAAAGGGUGGCGAGAACGCGGCUGGGAUCAGAGAAGAGGAGAGCGAGCUGACUGGAGGAGAGCGUGACGGGAAGGGCGCCAGUCCCCGGGACUCUUGUACCUUACGAGAAGGACUACUUUACCCGGCGGAGUACUACGUCCGGACCACGAGACGGAUGACCCUUUCGCAGAGCCAGCCGGACACGCAGGCCGUCGUAUUCUCCCAGCUGAGCGCCGGACAGCAUCGGGCGGGCCGCGGCAGAGGCCCGACGCGCUUGGACCGCCGCACCGCCGCAUGUUCGUCCUCGCCGACGUCCGGCGAGCUCAACGGCCACAGCUCCAGAGAGACGCCCGACCCAAUCCCGUGGUGUGAAAUCGACGGCGACGCUCGCGUCCCCCCCCCCGAUCGCCGCCGCCGCCCGUCCGGCGAGAGGCAGGAGGACGAGAAGAGGUAG
This is a long non-coding RNA of Gasterosteus aculeatus (three-spined stickleback), 1260 nucleotides long. The record is from Ensembl. NCBI's taxonomy places the organism in Eukaryota, Metazoa, Chordata, Actinopteri, Perciformes, Gasterosteidae.